GCAUAUCAAUAAGCGGAGGAAAAGAAACCAACAGGGAUUGCCCUAGUAACGGCGAGUGAAGCGGCAACAGCUCAAAUUUGAAAUCUGGCUCUUUUAGAGUCCGAGUUGUAAUUUGCAGAGGGCGCUUUGGCUUUGGCAGCGGUCCAAGUUCCUUGGAACAGGACGUCACAGAGGGUGAGAAUCCCGUACGUGGUCGCUAGCUAUUGCCGUGUAAAGCCCCUUCGACGAGUCGAGUUGUUUGGGAAUGCAGCUCUAAAUGGGAGGUAAAUUUCUUCUAAAGCUAAAUACUGGCCAGAGACCGAUAGCGCACAAGUAGAGUGAUCGAAAGAUGAAAAGCACUUUGGAAAGAGAGUCAAACAGCACGUGAAAUUGUUGAAAGGGAAGCGCUUGCAGCCAGACUUGCUUGCAGUUGCUCAUCCGGGCUCUUUUGCCCGGUGCAUUCUUCUGCAGGCAGGCCAGCAUCAGUUUGGGCGGUGGGAUAAAGGUCUCUGUCACGUACCUCUCUUCGGGGAGGCCUUAUAGGGGAGACGACAUACCACCAGCCUGGACUGAGGUCCGCGCAUUUAUGCUAGGAUGCUGGCGUAAUGGCUGUAAGCGGCCCGUCUUGAAACACGGACCAAGGAGUCUAACAUCUAUGCGAGUGUUUGGGUGUCAAGCCCGAACGCGUAAUGAAAGUGAACGGAGGUGGGAACCCGCAAGGGUGCACCAUCGACCGAUCCUGAUGUCUUCGGAAGGAUUUGAGUAAGAGCAUGGCUGUUGGGACCCGAAAGAUGGUGAACUAUGCUUGAAUAGGGUGAAGCCAGAGGAAACUCUGGUGGAGGCUCGCAGCGGUUCUGACGUGYAMMYCSWUMRUCWAAWUUGGGCAUAGGGGCGAAAGACUAAUCGAACUAUCUAGUAGCUGGKUUCCUGCCGAAGU
This 916-nucleotide ribosomal RNA is filed under the name Pyrenophora teres. RNAcentral's name for it is "LSU rRNA". It matches the Rfam family "Eukaryotic large subunit ribosomal RNA", at positions 38 to 967 of the family's 3401-position model. The record is from RNAcentral. Lineage: Eukaryota; Fungi; Ascomycota; Dothideomycetes; Pleosporales; Pleosporaceae.